AUGGCUGUGCUGGUACAUCCCCAAGAGCUUGAAGCCAUGAAGCAGCGAGAGGUUGGCGUAUUGACGAGUCGCCGGGUUGCGGAUGGAGAAGUGCUUGCCGUGGACGCAGAUGACGAGGAGGCCGUCGCAGGAGGCCUGGAACAGGGCGUCGUCGACGCUGUAAAGUCGCGCGACGGGCCCUGCCCGGUGGUUAAAGGGCAUGAUGAGUACGGAGUUGCCGUCUUCGCCGUAGAUGAGGGCGAGGGAUGGCUGGUGGGCGUGGUGAGCGAGGAGGAAGUCGCGGGUGGAGGUGGCGCGGCGCCAGGCGCGGCAGACGGCGCGGCAGCGGAGGAGGGCCUUGGGGGCCAGGCGAACGAGGAUCUCCCAGAUGGCGACCUCUUCCGGGAUGCCGCAGUGGAGAGGCGGAGCUCCUGCUGUCGCCAUGGUCGCCGGCUGGGAGUUGUGGUAGCGACGGCGGCGGAGGAGGGAGUUCUUCCUCGCGGAAAUUAA
Molecule: ribosomal RNA, 489 nt
Filed under: Triticum aestivum (bread wheat)
Lineage: Eukaryota; Viridiplantae; Streptophyta; Magnoliopsida; Poales; Poaceae
Description: partial small subunit ribosomal RNA
Source: RNAcentral